This 450-nucleotide ribosomal RNA is filed under the name uncultured bacterium. RNAcentral's name for it is "bacterial SSU rRNA". It matches the Rfam family "Bacterial small subunit ribosomal RNA", at positions 90 to 518 of the family's 1533-position model. The record is from RNAcentral.
GUAAAGUGGCGCACGGGUGAGUAACGCGUAGAUAACCUGUCUUCGAUGGUCUGGAAUAAUACGCCGAAAGGGGUACUAAUACCGGAUAUUCUUGCUUUUCAUAAGUUAUGCAAGCAAAGGUGGCCUCUGCAUAUGCUACUGCAUGAAGAGGGGUCUGCGUACCAUUAGCUAGUAGGUGGGGUAAUGGCCUACCUAGGCGACGAUGGUUAGCGGGUCUGAGAGGAUGAUCCGCCACACUGGCACUGGAACACGGGCCAGACUCCUACGGGAGGCAGCAGUGAGGAAUAUUGCGCAAUGGGGGAAACCCUGACGCAGCGACGCCGCGUGAGUGAGGAAGGCCUUCGGGUCGUAAAGCUCUGUCAAGAGGAAAGAAGUGUACAAUGGCUAAUACCUGUUGUAUUUGACGGUACCUCUAAAGGAAGCACCGGCUAACUCCGUGCCAGCCGCCGC